RNAcentral lists this long non-coding RNA (950 nucleotides) under Salvator merianae (Argentine black and white tegu). RNAcentral's name for it is "lncRNA (ENSSMRG00000021550.1)". The stretch from base 832 to 901 matches the Rfam family "tRNA". Lineage: Eukaryota; Metazoa; Chordata; Lepidosauria; Squamata; Teiidae. The record is from RNAcentral.
CGCUGGUUCUCGCUCUUGGCUGGAGUCCUUCUUGGCCGAGUCCCCUUGUCUCCCACCCCCCCGUUUCCAGGCGCUGGGAGGGACUGGGGGGGUGAGAGAAGAAAGGAGCCGUCUGAUCUUUUAAUAAUCAAAGUAAUUAGAAUAAUCCUUUUGGGGCUGAAUAGGGGAUUACGUCUUCCUGGGAGUGGAGUUCCAUCCUGGAUUGGUCUCAUCGAAAGGGGGGAGGAAGGGCGAAAAGCAUCUCCCUUCAAAAGCAGCCAGACCCUGUGCCCCCCUCCCCCGCCUUCAAGUCCUCGAGCCUUUUCUACCACGUGACCUGCCUGCCCUCCAGCGGGCCUGUAGGCCUUUCCAUGUCCAUCACCAGGAAAUGGAUGGGUUGGGCGGCUUAGUGCUGCCGCGCAGAGGUGGGGCGGAUGUUUGCGGGGCUGACCGGGGUGGGGGGGCAGGUGGCAUCACUUUUUUGGCCGGAUAGCGGAGGGACCUCCCCGUGCUCUAGGGAGCUGCUGUGGUUGUCUGGGCUGUGGCGCAAAAGGAAAGGCCUUCUGCAUUCCAGAGUAAUCCGAAAAUAAGAAUGUGAGUAACAAAAUGCUACGGCAGGCUCAGCAGAAGGAAGAGUGGUUAACAGCUGCUAUUCCAGACGACAGUGCAAUGCCUUGUCAUCCUGGUUUCAGGAGACCCCCGCCGCACUCAAAACACCCGCCAGAAACUCUGUCCUAUCUAAGGUACAGUAGAACUUGGUGGAUUGGACCAUUUCUAGAUGGAUCUACUUGACGGCCAUCUCCACCUCUAUUGCAGAGCCUGCCUUUAAGGAGGACCAGGCUUGGCAAGGAUGCAGCUGUAGCUCAAUGGUAGAGCAAACUGCCUGGAAAGCAGAGGGUCACUGGUUCAAUCCCCAGCCUCUUCCCAGAUGACGGCAAUAGCAAACCUCUUCUGUAUCUCUGCUAAGAAAA